Mangifera indica (mango) is the source of this 838-nucleotide long non-coding RNA. RefSeq lists it as uncharacterized. The record is from RefSeq and is a predicted model, not a curated record. The transcript is spliced from 2 exons. Lineage: Eukaryota; Viridiplantae; Streptophyta; Magnoliopsida; Sapindales; Anacardiaceae.
UUUCGUUUGAGAGCACGAGCACAAGCAAAACCUACUUGAUAUUUUGUAGUGAAAAUGGGGUAUUCAAUUGCCUCUCUUUUGAUCACUGCUCUUCUAGUUUUAACAAUCUCUUUUAGCUUCCCUUUUGAGUCCUCAGCUGACAACUUCUAUUCUUCUCCUCAUCCACAUAAAAAAUCUUCAUCACUUCCUUCGCUAGUUAAGCAAUCGCCACCACUUCCUCCGCUAGUUCACAAUUCGCCACCACUUCCUCCGCCAGUUCACAAUUCGCCACCACUUCCUCCGCCAGUUCACAAUUCGCCACCGCAUCCUCCGCCAGUUCACAAACCGCCACCACCUUCUCUGCCAGUUCACAAACCGCCACCACCUUCUCUGCCAGUUCACAAACGGCCACCACCUGCACCACCGGUGCCCAAGUGUCCACCAUUCCCACAACCACUACCCCUAUUCAAGCCUUUUCCUCCACCAAUACACAAAUCACCACUACCACCACUACCCAAGCCCCCACCAGCUCUCCAUUCCGUCCGUUUAUCUCCCUCUCUUCCCAACCCCUCUAAACAGCGUUUCCAUUAAAAUGUUUUUCAGGAGGCAAUAGGGAACAGUAUCUAUAUAGAUGAAUAAGUCUCUUGAAGAGCACAACAGUGGGAAAGAGAAAGCGGGUUUCCGCAUUUGGUUUAUCUUAUAAUUUCGUCGUUAGCAGAAUAUAUAAUAAUGGACGUGUAGAAAAGAAAGAAAACGUACACUUCUUAUUUUCAUGUAAUCGUGGGUUCAGUAUUUCAUAUUUGCUACUUGUUUCAUAGAUUGAUCAUAUUAUAAUAAUAUAAAAACAUUUCUCGUUGAA